GACAGAGGGUGCAAACGUUGUUCGGAAUUACUGGGCGUAAAGCGCGUGUAGGCGGCCCUGCAAGUCGGAUGUGAAAUCCCACGGCUCAACCGUGGAAGUACAUUCGAAACUGCAGGGCUAGAGUCCUGGAGAGGAAGGUGGAAUGCUUGGUGUAGAGGUGAAAUUCGUAGAUAUCAAGCGGAACACCGGUGGCGAAGGCGGCCUUCUGGACAGUGACUGACGCUGAGACGCGAAAGCGUGGGGAGCAAACAGG
Molecule: ribosomal RNA, 253 nt
Filed under: uncultured bacterium
Lineage: Bacteria
Description: partial 16S ribosomal RNA
Rfam family: Bacterial small subunit ribosomal RNA
Source: RNAcentral